UGCCCAUGCGCAGCUAAUACAUGCAGUCGAACGGUUGUAGUGAUACAAUAGUGGCGCACGGGUGCGUAACACGUAUGCAACCUACCUUAUAGACGGGGAUAGCCUUUGGAAACGGAGAUUAAUACCCGAUAGCAUUAUAUGACUGGCAUCAGUUAAUAAUUAAAGAUUUAUCGCUAUAAGCUGGGCAUGCGUCCAAUUAGUUAGUUGGUGAGGUAACGGCUCACCAAGACGAUGAUUGGUAGGGGAACUGAGAGGUUAAUCCCCCACACUGGCACUGAGAUACGGGCCAGACUCCUACGGGAGGCAGCAGUAGGGAAUAUUGGGCAAUGGAGGCAACUCUGACCCAGCCAUGCCGCGUGCAGGAUGAAGGCGUUAUGCGUUGUAAACUGCUUUUAUAUAGGAAGAAAUAGACCUUGCGAGGUAAGUUGACGGUACUAUAUGAAUAAGCACCGGCUAACUCCGUGCCAGCAGCCGCGGUAAUACGGAGGGUGCAAGCGUUGUCCGGAUUUAUUGGGUUUAAAGGGUGCGUAGGCGGUUUAUUAAGUCAGUGGUGAAAGACGGUCGCUCAACGAUUGCAGUGCCAUUGAUACUGGUAGACUUGAGUGGGAUUGAGGUAGCUGGAAUGGAUGGUGUAGCGGUGAAAUGCAUAGAUAUUAUCCAGAACACCAAUUGCGUAGGCAAGUUACUAAGUCUCAACUGACGCUGAGGCACGAAAGUGUGGGUAUCAAACAGGAUUAGAUACCCUGGUAGUCCACACUGUAAACGAUAAUAACUAACUGUUGGCUUUUGGGUCAGUGGUACAGAGAAAUCGUUAAGUUAUCCACCUGGGGAGUACGCCGGCAACGGUGAACUCAAGGAUUUGACGGGGGUCCGCACAGCGGCGGAGCAUGGUGGUUUAAUUCGACGAUACGCGAGGAACCUUACCUAGGCUAGAAUGUGAA
Molecule: ribosomal RNA, 941 nt
Filed under: uncultured bacterium
Lineage: Bacteria
Description: bacterial SSU rRNA
Rfam family: Bacterial small subunit ribosomal RNA
Source: RNAcentral